This is a non-coding RNA of Cordylochernes scorpioides, 73 nucleotides long. NCBI's taxonomy places the organism in Eukaryota, Metazoa, Arthropoda, Arachnida, Pseudoscorpiones, Chernetidae. The record is from the annotation of a GenBank genome assembly.
UGUUCAAUGCGGGGAUCGAACCCGGGUCGUAGUGGUCGUAAACCAAACGGUUUAACCAGCCUUCAACCGACCC